AUACGGAGGGUGCAAGCGUUGUCCGGAUUUAUUGGGUUUAAAGGGUGUGUAGGCGGUGUAUUAAGUCAGUGGUGAAAGCCUGCGGCUCAACCGUAGAACUGCCAUUGAUACUGACACACUUGAGUAUGGACGAGGUAGGCGGAAUUUAUGGUGUAGCGGUGAAAUGCAUAGAUACCAUAAAGAACACCGAUAGCGAAGGCAGCUUACUAGGCCAUAACUGACGCUGAGGCACGAAAGCGUGGGGAGCGAACAGAAUUAGAUACCCCAGUAGUCC
Molecule: ribosomal RNA, 274 nt
Filed under: uncultured bacterium
Lineage: Bacteria
Description: partial 16S ribosomal RNA
Rfam family: Bacterial small subunit ribosomal RNA
Source: RNAcentral